This 125-nucleotide ribosomal RNA is filed under the name Setophoma terrestris. Its description in RNAcentral is "partial large subunit ribosomal RNA". The record is from RNAcentral. Lineage: Eukaryota; Fungi; Ascomycota; Dothideomycetes; Pleosporales; Phaeosphaeriaceae.
AAGCGCUUGCAGCCAGACUUGCUUGUAGUUGCUUACCUAGACUUUUGUCUGGGGUACUCUUCUGCAGGCAGGCCAGCAUCAGUUUGGGCGGUUGGAUAAAGGUCUCUGUCACGUACCUCCUUUCG